This 406-nucleotide ribosomal RNA is filed under the name uncultured bacterium. RNAcentral's name for it is "partial 16S ribosomal RNA". It matches the Rfam family "Bacterial small subunit ribosomal RNA", at positions 30 to 526 of the family's 1533-position model. The record is from RNAcentral.
AUUGAACGCUGGCGGCAGGCCUAACACAUGCAAGUCGAACGAGUGGCGGACGGGUGAGUAAUGUCUGGGAAACUGCCCGAUGGAGGGGGAUAACUACUGGAAACGGUAGCUAAUACCGCAUACCAUCUGAUGUUCCCAGAUGGGAUUAGCUAGUAGGUGUGGUAACGGCUCACCUAGGCGACGAUCCCUAGCUGGUCUGAGAGGAUGACCAGACACAAUGGAACUGAGAAAAGGUCCAGACUCCUACGGGAGGCAGCAGUGGGGAAUAGUGCACAAGGGGCGAAAGCCUGAUGCAGCCAUGCCGCGUGGAUGAAGAAGGCCUUCGGGUUGUAAAGUACUUUCAGCGAGGAGGCGUUACUCGCAGAAGAAGCACCGGCUAACUCCGGGCCAGCAGCCGCGGUAAUUC